UACAGAGGUCUCAAGCGUUGUUCGGAUUCAUUGGGCGUAAAGGGUGUGUAGGUGGCGCCGUAAGUCGGGUGUGAAAUUUCGGAGCUUAACUCCGAAACUGCAUUCGAUACUGCGGUGCUUGAGGACUGGAGAGGAGACUGGAAUUCAUGGUGUAGCAGUGAAAUGCGUAGAGAUCGGAAAGAACACCAACGGCGAAAGCACUCUGCUGGGCCGACACUGACACUGAGAGACGAAAGCUAGGGGAGCGAAUGGG
Molecule: ribosomal RNA, 253 nt
Filed under: uncultured bacterium
Lineage: Bacteria
Description: partial 16S ribosomal RNA
Rfam family: Bacterial small subunit ribosomal RNA
Source: RNAcentral